Molecule: long non-coding RNA, 875 nt
Filed under: Fragaria vesca (wild strawberry)
Lineage: Eukaryota; Viridiplantae; Streptophyta; Magnoliopsida; Rosales; Rosaceae
Description: long non-coding RNA (FVES_LNC000694)
Source: RNAcentral
CCCCUUACAGCCUCACACACACAGAGCACCACCUUCAAUCUAAAAUCCAAUUCCAAAACACAUGCAGAAAAAGGAAGCGAAAUACUUAUCAAAGUUAUGGAAACAUUCGAGUGACUACAAUACUCAAACUCGUACUCCAUCACUCAAACUUGUACUCAUUCUUCAGUCCAUCUAUUUACCUCAGGAUAAUAGCUGGUUUUACUGUUGAAGAUAAGUUAUACAACUGUUCAUGAUAAGUUUCAGAGAAAACCACUAUCGAAAAAAACUCGGCUUUCUUAAGGCAAGAAUUGAAGAACUCAAGUCAGUACUCACUUGUUUCAAGUCAUCUUCAUAGUCUUCAAUGUCAUCAUUUAUGUCAGCCUCUACUCCCCUGAACUUGAUUGCAGCUCUAUCAUACACUCAUACACUACAGAAAAUAAUUUAUAAUAAGCAACUAACUAAUCAUUAAAAUUUCUACAUGUUCUUGGAGAAAUUUUUUUUGUUUCCCCAGAAAAUUUAAGAUUUUUUAUGGCAAGCAAAAUAGUACUCACCAAGCAGCUGCAUGUGCUGUGUCGAAUCAACCUAUAGUGUGUCCAAAACAAAAUAAAAAAUAAAAAACCCAUCAGAAAGACCAACAUGGAUUUAAUUGCAAUGAUAAAACAGGUAUCCUUUUGUCAAUUCAUACAAAGAGGUACGGAAACUUCAAAGUGGCAUAUUUCAAUUCAUAGUUGGUGAUAUACUGAUAUACAUACUACUCCCUCACCUUAUAAAACAGGAAAAACCAUGAAUGAUGAUAAGCCAAUUGAGUAUGGUACAAAGAAAAACACACCAUUCAAACCAUAAAGUUGAGCCACAAAGAAACAUUAACAUUGUAGGCAAAGUUGAAAGUGACCUAC